This 253-nucleotide ribosomal RNA is filed under the name uncultured bacterium. RNAcentral's name for it is "partial 16S ribosomal RNA". It matches the Rfam family "Bacterial small subunit ribosomal RNA", at positions 524 to 776 of the family's 1533-position model. The record is from RNAcentral.
UACGGAGGGAGCUAGCGUUGUUCGGAAUUACUGGGCGUAAAGCGCGCGUAGGCGGCUUUGUAAGUUAGAGGUGAAAGCCCGGGGCUCAACCCCGGAACUGCCUUUAAGACUGCAUCGCUUGAAUCCGGGAGAGGUGAGUGGAAUUCCGAGUGUAGCGGUGAAAUGUGUAGAGAUCCCGAGGAAUACCAGUGGUGAAGACGGCGCCCUGGGCCGAUACUGACGCUGAGAUGCGAAAGCGUGGGGAGCGAACGGG